Molecule: ribosomal RNA, 301 nt
Filed under: uncultured bacterium
Lineage: Bacteria
Description: partial 16S ribosomal RNA
Rfam family: Bacterial small subunit ribosomal RNA
Source: RNAcentral
CAGCAGCCGCGGUAAUACGGAGGAUCCAAGCGUUAUCCGGAAUCAUUGGGUUUAAAGGGUCCGUAGGCGGUCUUGUAAGUCAGUGGUGAAAGCCCAUCGCUCAACGGUGGAACGGCCAUUGAUACUGCAGGACUUGAAUUAUUGGGAAGUAACUAGAAUAUGUAGUGUAGCGGUGAAAUGCUUAGAGAUUACAUGGAAUACCAAUUGCGAAGGCAGGUUACUACCAAUUGAUUGACGCUGAUGGACGAAAGCGUGGGUAGCGAACAGGAUUAGAUACCCCCGUAGUCCCUGUCUCUAUACA